Molecule: transfer RNA, 87 nt
Filed under: Gammaproteobacteria bacterium
Lineage: Bacteria; Pseudomonadati; Pseudomonadota; Gammaproteobacteria
Description: tRNA-Leu
Rfam family: tRNA
About the family: Transfer RNA (tRNA) molecules are approximately 80 nucleotides in length. Their secondary structure includes four short double-helical elements and three loops (D, anti-codon, and T loops). Further hydrogen bonds mediate the characteristic L-shaped molecular structure. tRNAs have two regions of fundamental functional importance: the anti-codon, which is responsible for specific mRNA codon recognition, and the 3' end, to which the tRNAs corresponding amino acid is attached (by aminoacyl-tRNA synthetases). tRNAs cope with the degeneracy of the genetic code in two manners: having more than one tRNA (with a specific anti-codon) for a particular amino acid; and 'wobble' base-pairing, i.e. permitting non-standard base-pairing at the 3rd anti-codon position.
Source: RNAcentral
GCCCGGGUGGCGGAAUGGGUAGACGCAAGGGACUUAAAAUCCCUCGCCUGUAAAGGCGUGCCGGUUCGACUCCGGCCCCGGGCACCA